AGCAUGCUGCAUGCUCUCCACGCGCUUCGAGCGGUAACAUUUGUAGCUUGCUAGAAGAUGACGAGCGGCGGACGGGUGAGUAAUGCUUGGGAACAUGCCUUUAGGUGGGGGACAACCAUUGGAAACGAUGGCUAAUACCGCAUAAUGUCUACGGACCAAAGGGGGCUUCGGCUCUCGCCUUUAGAUUGGCCCAAGUGGGAUUAGGUAGUUGGUGAGGUAAUGGCUCACCAAGCCGACGAUCCCUAGCUGGUUUGAGAGGAUGAUCAGCCACACUGGAACUGAGACACGGUCCAGACUCCUACGGGAGGCAGCAGUGGGGAAUAUUGCACAAUGGGCGCAAGCCUGAUGCAGCCAUGCCGCGUGUGUGAAGAAGGCCUUCGGGUUGUAAAGCACUUUCAGUUGUGAGGAAAGGUUAGUAGUUAAUACCUGCUAGCUGUGACGUUAGCAACAGAAGAAGCACCGGCUAACUCCGUGCCAGCAGCCGCGGUAAUACGGAGGGUGCGAGCGUUAAUCGGAAUUACUGGGCGUAAAGCGUACGCAGGCGGUUUGUUAAGCGAGAUGUGAAAGCCCCGGGCUCAACCUGGGAACUGCAUUUCGAACUGGCAAACUAGAGUGUGAUAGAGGGUGGUAGAAUUUCAGGUGUAGCGGUGAAAUGCGUAGAGAUCUGAAGGAAUACCGAUGGCGAAGGCAGCCACCUGGGUCAACACUGACGCUCAUGUACGAAAGCGUGGGGAGCAAACGGGAUUAGAUACCCCGGUAGUCCACGCCGUAAACGAUGUCUACUAGGAGUUCGGUUUUUCGGAACUGUCUUCCAAAGCUAACGCAUUAAGUAGACCGCCUGGGGAGUACGGCCGCAAGGUUAAAACUCAAAUGAAUUGACGGGGGCCCGCACAAGCGGUGGAGCAUGUGGUUUAUUUCGAUGCAACGCGAAGAAGCUUACCUACACUUGACAUCCAGAAGAACUUACUAGAGAUAGUUUGGUGGCCUUCGGGAACUCUUGAGAACAGGGGCUGCAUG
RNAcentral lists this ribosomal RNA (1017 nucleotides) under Pseudoalteromonas sp. R214E3. RNAcentral describes it as "bacterial SSU rRNA". It matches the Rfam family "Bacterial small subunit ribosomal RNA", at positions 34 to 1047 of the family's 1533-position model. Lineage: Bacteria; Pseudomonadati; Pseudomonadota; Gammaproteobacteria; Alteromonadales; Pseudoalteromonadaceae. The record is from RNAcentral.